RNAcentral lists this non-coding RNA (24 nucleotides) under Gossypium hirsutum (cotton). Lineage: Eukaryota; Viridiplantae; Streptophyta; Magnoliopsida; Malvales; Malvaceae. The record is from RNAcentral.
CUAAUAGUUAUUCUUUGGUAUCAA